UCUGACGAGCACGCCGCGUGAGUGAAGAAGGUUUUCGGAUCGUAAAACUCUGUUGUUAGAGAAGAACAAGGAUGAGAGUAACUGUUCAUCCCUUGACGGUAUCUAACCAGAAAGCCACGGCUAACUACGUGCCAGCAGCCGCGGUAAUAA
Molecule: ribosomal RNA, 150 nt
Filed under: uncultured bacterium
Lineage: Bacteria
Description: partial 16S ribosomal RNA
Rfam family: Bacterial small subunit ribosomal RNA
Source: RNAcentral